This 1368-nucleotide long non-coding RNA is filed under the name Mytilus galloprovincialis (Mediterranean mussel). The record is from RNAcentral. Lineage: Eukaryota; Metazoa; Mollusca; Bivalvia; Mytilida; Mytilidae.
UAGAAUGAGGUAUCUUUUUUAUUUGCAGGGUAAAAUGCAGUUUCAUAAAUACAUAUUAAACUAUAAAUAUCAAUACAGCUUGAAAUACCAGACAUGAGUAAUAAAUGUAUGCUGUCAAAAUUUGAGUAGGUAAGAAGGUGAAAGUUUGAAAAAAUGUAUGGCAUUUAUAAAAAAAUAUCAGACAAAAAGACGUAAUUGUGAGGUAAUGCCAACUUAGUAGUUUUAACAGUCAUAGUUCAGAUAUUUUCACACUAAGAGAGUAUUGUCAGAAGUUUUCUGAUAUAUGUACAUUUACGAUAAAAAUAUGCAUGGUAAAUUUUAGUAAAAAUAUUUGUUAAAAAUAUCCAUGAAAUUUACAUUAUUAUAGCAUUUUCAAAGCAAGUUGAGAAAUCUAUAUAUAGAUUUGAAAAAUUCAAAACAAAAUGAAACCAGUGGGCCAAAACAAAAAUGUAUGUUUGGUUGACAUUGAUGGUAAACUGUUUAAAAAGGCCAACUGGAAAUAUUUACUCAUAGGAUAGUUAUUGAUUCAGAUUUGGGUAUUUUUGUUACUUUACUUUUACUCAUUAUUUUACAAACCCUGCCUGAACAAUUUUGAUCUUAAAAAUUAUUCUUGUCUAAACUUCUUAUUAAAGUUCUGCGGCAGUCUGAAAAGACCAUUUAUCAGUCAUAAGCUUAAGAAAACUGAGAAAAACCAUGUCAAAUUUACCAUUAACAGAAGAACUGAGAAAUAACAUGCAUAGUUCACCAUUAGCAUGAUUAUCACAACAGGUUAAUAUAGGCACUUAUAAUGGCGAUCAGAUAUGAGAAAUAAAAAUAUAUAAAGAUUUGUUAACAGAUAUACAUUUAAUUUGGUCCUACAAAGGAUAUUGCACAUUAAAAUAUAUAUGGUUUUAAUGGUGUAAACUAUUAUCAUAUAAUAAGAUUUUUUAUAACCAAACAAGUAUAUGUAUUAACCAAUAUCUGUGCAACUGGUAAGCUUAAUUGUAUAUAGGGCUAUACUGUUGUUGAUUGUCAAAAGUAAUAUUGCCCAGAUGAAAAAACUGCCUCCAGGUGAUCUCAAAUAAAACUUAUCCUAGUUCCACAUAUUAAAUCUCUUUUUAAAUGUUUGACAUUUUUUUUUUUAAACAACUUCUUGAUGACCAGUUGCAAAAAAAUUGGUAACACAUUUAAAGUAUAAUAAGAAAUGAUAUUAAUUACAAUCAUAAAAACUAUUAGACUUUUUAAAAAUUUACAAGUAUACAUUAUUAAAUAGAAAGAUAAAUUUUCAACCUUUUAAAUGUAAAAAAUAAAUACAGCAUGUACAAAAUCUAAAAUUCAGAAAAGACCAUUCGAUAAAAUGUUUAUUUCAUAUACACAAUAAUUUUGUUC